Molecule: ribosomal RNA, 470 nt
Filed under: uncultured organism
Description: partial 16S ribosomal RNA
Rfam family: Bacterial small subunit ribosomal RNA
Source: RNAcentral
CACUCCUGCGGGAGGCAGCAGUGGGGAAUUUUGGACAAUGGGCGAAAGCCUGAUCCAGCAAUGCCGCGUGAGUGAAGAAGGCCUUCGGGUUGUAAAGCUCUUUUGUCAGGGAAGAAACGGUGAAAGCUAAUAUCUUUUGCUAAUGACGGUACCUGAAGAAUAAGCACCGGCUAACUACGUGCCAGCAGCCGCGGUAAUACGUAGGGUGCAAGCGUUAAUCGGAAUUACUGGGCGUAAAGCGUGCGCAGGCGGUUUUGUAAGUCUGAUGUGAAAUCCCCGGGCUCAACCUGGGAAUUGCAUUGGAGACUGCAAGGCUAGAAUCUGGCAGAGGGGGGUAGAAUUCCACGUGUAGCAGUGAAAUGCAUAGAUAUGUGGAGGAACACCGAUGGCGAAGGCAGCCCCCUGGGUCAAGAUUGACGCUCAUGCACGAAAGCGUGGGGAGCAAACAGGAUUAGAAACCCCGGUAGUCC